GAUGAAGAACGUAGUGAAAUGCGAUAAGUAAUGUGAAUUGCAGAAUUCAGUGAAUCAUCGAAUCUUUGAACGCACAUAGCGCCCCUUGGUAUUCCGAGGGGCAUGCCUGUUCGAGCGUCAUUAUAACCCCUCAAGCUCAGCUUGGUGUUGGGGCCUGCCGCACGGGCAGCCCUUAAAAUCAGUGGCGGUGCCAUCUGGCUCUAAGCGUAGUAAUUCUUCUCGCUAUAGAGUCCCGGUGGAUGCUUGCCAUUAACCCCCAAUUUUCUAUGGUUGACCUCGGAUCAGGUAGGGAUACCCGCUGAACUUAAGCAUAUCAAUAAGCGGAGGA
This 328-nucleotide unclassified non-coding RNA is filed under the name soil metagenome. Its description in RNAcentral is "partial contains 5.8S ribosomal RNA, internal transcribed spacer 2, and large subunit ribosomal RNA". The stretch from base 1 to 120 matches the Rfam family "5.8S ribosomal RNA", at positions 35 to 154 of the family's 154-position model. The record is from RNAcentral.